CCGGAGCUUGCUCCGGUGAAAGUGGCGCACGGGUGAGUAACGCGUGGAUAAUCUGCCCUGGUAUCUGGGAUAACAUCUCGAAAGGGGUGCUAAUACCGGAUAAGCCUACGGACUCUUCGGAGUCUGCAGGAAAAGGUGGCCUCUAUUUAUAAGCUACCGUAUCAGGAUGAGUCCGCGUACCAUUAGCUAGUUGGUGGGGUAAUGGCCCACCAAGGCUACGAUGGUUAGCUGGUCUGAGAGGAUGAUCAGCCACACUGGAACUGAGACACGGUCCAGACUCCUACGGGAGGCAGCAGUGGGGAAUUUUGCGCAAUGGGGGAAACCCUGACGCAGCAACGCCGCGUGAGUGAUGAAGGCUUUCGGGUCGUAAAGCUCUGUCAGAGGGGAAGAAAUGAGUCUGGCUAAUAUCCAGAUUUCUUGACGGUACCCUCAAAGGAAGCACCGGCUAACUCCGUGCCAGCAGCCGCGGUAAUAC
This 475-nucleotide ribosomal RNA is filed under the name uncultured Geobacter sp. RNAcentral's name for it is "bacterial SSU rRNA". It matches the Rfam family "Bacterial small subunit ribosomal RNA", at positions 73 to 526 of the family's 1533-position model. The record is from RNAcentral. Lineage: Bacteria; Pseudomonadati; Thermodesulfobacteriota; Desulfuromonadia; Geobacterales; Geobacteraceae.